This 119-nucleotide small nuclear RNA is filed under the name Brassica carinata (Ethiopian mustard). Its description in RNAcentral is "U5 spliceosomal RNA". It matches the Rfam family "U5 spliceosomal RNA". From Rfam's summary of the family: U5 RNA is a component of both types of known spliceosome. The precise function of this molecule is unknown, though it is known that the 5' loop is required for splice site selection and p220 binding, and that both the 3' stem-loop and the Sm site are important for Sm protein binding and cap methylation. RNAcentral also lists the same sequence under 2 other names. Lineage: Eukaryota; Viridiplantae; Streptophyta; Magnoliopsida; Brassicales; Brassicaceae. The record is from Rfam by way of RNAcentral.
GUCCUGUGGUGAGCACAAAGCGAACUAUUCUUUCGCCUUUUACUAAAGAAUACCGUGUGAUCUCCACGAUUAACAGGCAUACACUAAUUUUUGGAGGGGUUAACUUCUAUACGAAGUUU